GCCCGGGUUCAUGGGUUCAGAUCCCAGGCGUGGACCUACCGCACUCAUCAGCCAUGCUGAGGAGGCAUCCAACAUAUAAAUUUGAGGAAGAUUGGCACAGUUGUUAGCUCAGGGCUAAUCUUCCUCAGCAAAAAAAAAAAAAGGGCAUAGCGAUUGAACAAUGAAAAUGAGUAUAUAAGUAAUAAACAACGAUUUAAAAGUGAACAAAUACAGUUUGCACAUAAAAUAUAAUGUGAAUAUGAUGAAGGUUUAUUGUGCUCAUUUUUUUCCUUCUUUCCACAUCAUUUUCUUCAUCAAUUUUUCAACAUUUUGGGGGUUCAGGGUCAUCUUGCACUCAAACUGCACUUGAAAAUAAAGUUAUAACACAGAAAAACACCCUCCAGGCAAAAUAAAAGCUAAAUCAGAGAGCAGUUCAAAAUGCGGAAAUAGCACACACAUGCAGUUGCUGGACAGUCAUGAGAAGGUGCUAUUUCUUCACCCCUGGCACUUGCAUCCAUCCACAAAGCAAAGCAUUAUGGGUUUAUACAAACAGUGUGUGUAAUUCAAAUUCAACCGAUAUGACACACUCUGACUAGAAACUACUAUGUUGAAUACAUUGGCAAGUGCAUUUUUGCCUAGAACCAUAAUAUAAAAAUAUCACUUUUUACAAAUGCAUUUAUGUAAUGUGUAUACAAGUGAAUAAGUCAUUAUACACACACCAAAAAAGGGAGGCCAAAAGGAGGUGUAAUUUUCCAAAAGCCAUUAAGGGUGAAAAGCCUUUAACUAAGGAAUUAUUAUAUGUCUGUAUUUUAAAGUCAGAAUUAUUCAGAAACAGUUAAAAAUAAAGACUAUCACACAGAAAUAUAUAAUUCUGGCUUCUCCUGAGAAAGUGGAUGAUCUCAGUUCACUGGUCUCCAAGUUCUUGCACAGCCACAACUGACCAGAUCCCCACCAGGCCCACUUCACUCAUUUCUAUGUCUUGCCUGGUCCCUCUAGACACCCUCAGUCUGGGGAUCCUAUUUCAUUUGACCAUUUAUUCCAACGCUCCUACAUGUGCAGGCUACCUUCCCACAUAACCUGCAUUCCACAGAAGGACUUGGGCUCCAAAAACAAUGAGCUCUUCCAGGAUAGACGCCUUGCAGGGCAUCGGGCCCAAGGGAAAGAAAAUCGGGCAGUUUGGGAGCAGCUAUGAUGACAAGCUACUGCCUGGGCCGGGUGAACAGGGAAGAUCUGGAGUCUAGAAGUUCUGCAUGCCCCCUGCUCCUGUCAGCACUCCAUACCUUGGACUGUGAAUAUUCUAGUGCAUGUCUUUUCUCCUCUGUUAAACUCUAGGUUUCUUUUAUAUCUAUUCUCUGCCACCCCCAUCCUCCCCACGCUCCCACUGACCACCACACAUGCACAUAGAGCUCCUCCUAGCACAAUGCUACACGUUCAAGAUGGGAGUAGGGUAAUCUUAUUAUUAAACCCUCACCUUCGGUGUUCCCUCCUGCAGAAGCUCCAGUGCAGGAAUAGUAGCUAGAUGGGAACCAGAGUGCGCCAAAGCUGUGGUAAACUGUGCUGAGAACCUGCUUAAAUUACUACCCAUCCAGUAGAGACGUCAGGACUGGAGAGAGGUCCACCAUCUCUGCCGGCCACAGAGGCAGAGCCUAUACAGAAGGGUUUCCCACAUGGGAGCAGGAAGUGCUAAAGAACAGGGGAAGCUUCUGUCUCUAUAGCUCUCCCCUCCCGCAGGGAAAACACGGCCCAGUGAAAACCCUAGACUCCGGUCCAUCAUGGUAUUAGCUCCCUUUCCCCGGGAGCAGAAUCUAGGAAGUGGGUAACGGAAGGGUGGGAGUAUCCCUUCCCAGUGAUAGGUACUCAAGAGACUUGACUAAUAUUUGUUUAGGCAGCCCAGGCAUUGUUAUCCCCAUCGUGCUGGAGAAACUGAGGCCCCAAGAUGUCAUGUGAUAUGUUCGAGCCUGGAAAUGUAGAACUGGACUAAAAUCUAGGUAUUUUGACUCAAAUUCUCCAUCCAGAGCAUAGAAGUACUAAGUGGUGCCACUGCUACAAGGUCUGUCCACAAGAUUCGGACCAUUUCACUAAACGUAUCGGGAGGUCAUAUGUGGAGGGUCUGGAAACAGGUCUAAUUUUCUUCACCAGCCUCUCUGACCCCCGUUCUUCCCAGGUGUGUGGUGCUUGUUGUUCCUGAAGGACAGCAUCUGGGAUCAUCUUUCAGUCACAGGAAUGUUCUCAACAUUGACUGCACCUUGGGUUCACCUGGGGAGUUUAACACAUAUUGAUUCCAUCGCUGCACUCCUGAAGAUCCCGGUUGAAUCAUCUGGGUGCAGCCCGGCAGCAGGAGUUCUCAAAGCUGCCCGGGUCAUUCUACUGUGGAGCCAGCACUGAGCGGCACAGCGGCAAACUCUCCCCUAGGCUGAGGCUGCACCACUUGCUGAGAAAGUCCUGGCUUUCCCGGGGGCAAGGAGAGUUAAUGCCCCUUUCCUACCACCCAGGCCACACAGGGAACUGGGAGCUGAUUCCUGUUCCUGAAUGUUAAGGCUUCACUUGCCAAAUCCAAGGACCCUGU
RNAcentral lists this long non-coding RNA (2545 nucleotides) under Equus caballus (horse). RNAcentral describes it as "lncRNA (ENSECAG00000056683.1)". Lineage: Eukaryota; Metazoa; Chordata; Mammalia; Perissodactyla; Equidae. The record is from RNAcentral.